RNAcentral lists this long non-coding RNA (668 nucleotides) under Ananas comosus (pineapple). RNAcentral describes it as "long non-coding RNA (ACOM_LNC037536)". Lineage: Eukaryota; Viridiplantae; Streptophyta; Magnoliopsida; Poales; Bromeliaceae. The record is from RNAcentral.
UCUAGGGUUACAAUCAUCAUAUAGUCCAUAGGUUUCAUAUACACUAUGACUCACAUAUGUCACUCGUUCUUUUGUUUACUAUCAACUAGAUGCCACUCGUUCUUUACAAGUUUUCAAUGCAAUAGCCAAUACAUUACCAAAUUCCCAUCCACACUUACCAUCUCAUUAUAGGGUUCCACAUCACAUAUAUAAACCUCAAGCAUGCUAGAUAUAAAUACUAAGCCAAAUACAUUAUUCUACCAAAGAACAUGCAAGGUAUAGGACCAAACCAUCAUUUAUCACCCUAUAAUGCAAGAUGUCAAUAUGCAAUUGGAUCAAUAUAAGCUUAGACAUAAAAGGGAGCCCGAUUGCUUCGGGAUGGACACCACCCACCUUUUAUAGCGUUCCGAUUGCUCGUUGUCACUCGCAAUCGGCCUCCUGCGGCGUACGCCGCAUGGCUCGACCCAACUCACGCGCGACUGCCAAAUGACCUCCUAUCCGCGAUCCGUCUGUUCUGGAGUUUAUUCCCUGACACCACGAUGCUACGAUUCCAUUUCUAUGAUUUUUGGAAGCUUUCGCCGCGAGCUGCGGCAAUCUGUACCAAAAUCGGCCUCUUCUUCGAUAUCUUUGUAACGGCUCGACGGAUUGCCAAACCGUCGCUUCCAACGCGUUCAGCGACCUAUCAAUUA